Molecule: ribosomal RNA, 134 nt
Filed under: Erwinia amylovora ATCC 49946
Lineage: Bacteria; Pseudomonadati; Pseudomonadota; Gammaproteobacteria; Enterobacterales; Erwiniaceae
Source: RNAcentral
ACAAAGAAUUUGCCUGGCGGCUGUAGCGCGGUGGUCCCACCUGACCCCAUGCCGAACUCAGAAGUGAAACGCCGUAGCGCCGAUGGUAGUGUGGGGUCUCCCCAUGCGAGAGUAGGGAACUGCCAGGCAUCAAA